RNAcentral lists this ribosomal RNA (482 nucleotides) under uncultured bacterium. RNAcentral's name for it is "partial 16S ribosomal RNA". It matches the Rfam family "Bacterial small subunit ribosomal RNA", at positions 30 to 507 of the family's 1533-position model. The record is from RNAcentral.
AUUGAACGCUGGCGGCAUGCCUUACACAUGCAAGUCGAACGGUAACGGGCCUUCGGGUGCCGACGAGUGGCGAACGGGUGAGUAAUACAUCGGAACGUGCCCGAUCGUGGGGGAUAACGAGGCGAAAGCUUUGCUAAUACCGCAUACGAUCUACGGAUGAAAGCAGGGGACCGCAAGGCCUUGCGCGGACGGAGCGGCCGAUGGCAGAUUAGGUAGUUGGUGGGAUAAAAGCUUACCAAGCCGACGAUCUGUAGCUGGUCUGAGAGGAUGAUCAGCCACACUGGGACUGAGACACGGCCCAGACUCCUACGGGAGGCAGCAGUGGGGAAUUUUGGACAGUGGGCGCAAGCCUGAUCCAGCCAUGCCGCGUGCAGGAUGAAGGCCUUCGGGUUGUAAACUGCUUUUGUACGGAACGAAAAGCCUUCUUUUAAUACAGGAGGGUCAUGACGGUACCGUAAGAAUAAGCACCGGCUAACUACGUG